AACGAACGCUGGCGGCAUGCCUAACACAUGCAAGUCGAACGAGACCUCCGGGUCUAGUGGCGCACGGGUGCGUAACGCGUGGGAACCUGCCCUUAGGUUCGGAAUAACUCCCCGAAAGGGGUGCUAAUACCGGAUAAUGUCUUCGGACCAAAGAUUUAUCGCCUUUGGAUGGGCCCGCGUUGGAUUAGCUGGUUGGUAGGGUAAAAGCCUACCAAGGCGACGAUCCAUAGCUGGUCUGAGAGGAUGAUCAGCCACACUGGGACUGAGACACGGCCCAGACUCCUACGGGAGGCAGCAGUGGGGAAUAUUGGACAAUGGGCGAAAGCCUGAUCCAGCAAUGCCGCGUGAGUGAUGAAGGCCUUAGGGUUGUAAAGCUCUUUUACCCGGGAUGAUAAUGACAGUACCGGGAGAAUAAGCUCCGGCUAACUCCGUG
Molecule: ribosomal RNA, 433 nt
Filed under: uncultured bacterium
Lineage: Bacteria
Description: partial 16S ribosomal RNA
Rfam family: Bacterial small subunit ribosomal RNA
Source: RNAcentral